RNAcentral lists this ribosomal RNA (407 nucleotides) under uncultured bacterium. RNAcentral's name for it is "partial 16S ribosomal RNA". It matches the Rfam family "Bacterial small subunit ribosomal RNA", at positions 30 to 526 of the family's 1533-position model. The record is from RNAcentral.
AUUGAACGCUGGCGGCAGGCCUAACACAUGCAAGUCGAGCGGAGCGGCGGACGGGUGAGUAAUGUAUGGGGAUCUGCCCGAUAGAGGGGGAUAACUACUGGAAACGGGCGCUAAUACCGCAUACUAUCAGAUGAGCCUAGGUCGGAUUAGCUAUUUGGUGGGGUAAAGGCCUACCAAGCCGACGAUCCGUAACUGGUCUGAGAGGCUGAUCAGUCACACUGUAACUGAGACACGGUCCAGAGUCCUACGUGAGGCAGCAGUGGGGAAUUUUGGACAAUGGGCGAAAGCCUGAUCCAGCCAUGCCGCGUGUGUGACGAAGGUCUUCGGAUUUUAAAGCACUUUAAGUUAGGAGGCGUUACCAACAGAAUAAGCACCGGCUAACUUCGUGCCAGCCGCCGCGGUAAUAC